AUGGGCGAGGAGGCCAAUUGCGACGCCGUGAUGGAGGCCGGCAACGGCAACGGCAAGGCCAAGGAGAACGGCCACGCCGUUGCGGCCAUGCCGGACGUCAAGGCCGACGACGCCGUGGUGGCGCUGGCCGACCCCCGCCUGCAGGGCAUCUCCGACGCCAUCCGCGUCGUCCCGCACUUCCCCAAGCCAGGCAUCAUGUUCAACGACAUCACGACGCUCCUGCUGCGGCCCGGGGUGUUCAAGGACGCCGUGGACAUGUUCGUCGAGCGCUACCGCGGCAUGGGCAUCGCCGCCGUCGCCGGGAUUGAGGCGAGAGGAUUUAUAUUUGGCCCCGCGAUUGCACUAGCCGUCGGUGCCAAGUUCAUUCCGUUGCGCAAGCCUAAGAAACUCCCAGGUGAGGUGAUUUCUGAGACCUAUGUUCUCGAAUACGGAACUGAUUGUCUGGAGAUGCAUGUUGGUGCUAUCGAACCCCGUGAGCGUGUUUUGAUCGUUGAUGGUCUGGUUGCAACUGGUGGGACACUUUGUGCUGCUAUAAAUCUUCUGGAACGUGCUGGAGCUGAUGUCGUUGAGUGUGCUUGUCUCAUUGGGCUCCCUAAAUUUAAGGAUUGUUACAAGCUCAACGGGAAGCCUGUCUAUGUACUGGUGGAGUCUCUCGAAUAUGAAAAAUAA
RNAcentral lists this ribosomal RNA (669 nucleotides) under Triticum aestivum (bread wheat). RNAcentral describes it as "partial small subunit ribosomal RNA". Lineage: Eukaryota; Viridiplantae; Streptophyta; Magnoliopsida; Poales; Poaceae. The record is from RNAcentral.